Molecule: small RNA, 1731 nt
Filed under: Pongo abelii (Sumatran orangutan)
Lineage: Eukaryota; Metazoa; Chordata; Mammalia; Primates; Hominidae
Description: retained intron
Source: RNAcentral
AAAGAGAAAGGGAAAGGAGCAAGCCAGGAAGCCAGACAACAAGAGCAUCAAAACAAGGCUGUUUCUGUGUGUGAGGAACUUUGCCUUGGAGAUAAAAUUAGACCUAGAGCUUGCUGACAGGGAGUCUGAAGCGUGGGACAUGGACCGUUCACUGGGAUGGCAAGGGAAUUCUGUCCCUGAGGACAGGACUGAAGCUGGGAUCAAGCGUUUCCUGGAGGACACCACGGAUGAUGGAGAACUGAGCAAGUUCGUGAAGGAUUUCUCAGGAAAUGAGAGCUGCCACCCACCAGAGGCUAAGACCCGGGCAUCCAGGCCCCAAGUCCCGGAGCCAAGGCCCCAGGCCCCGGACCUCUAUGAUGAUGACCUGGAGUUCAGACCCCCCUCGUGGCCCCAGUCCUCUGACAACCAGCAGUACUUCUGUGCCCCAGCCCCUCUCAGCCCAUCUGCCAGGCCCCGCAGCCCAUGGGGCAAGCUUGAUCCCUAUGAUUCCUCUGAGGAUGACAAGGAGUAUGUGGGCUUUGCAACCCUUCCCAACCAAGUCCACCGAAAGUCCGUGAAGAAAGGCUUUGACUUUACCCUCAUGGUGGCAGGAGAGUCUGGCCUGGGCAAAUCCACACUUGUCAAUAGCCUCUUCCUCACUGAUCUGUACCGGGACCGGAAACUCCUUGGUGCUGAAGAGCGGAUCAUGCAAACUGUGGAGAUCACUAAGCAUGCAGUGGACAUAGAAGAGAAGGGUGUGAGGCUGCGGCUCACCAUUGUGGACACACCAGGUUUUGGGGAUGCAGUCAACAACACAGAGUGCUGGAAGCCUGUGGCAGAAUACAUUGAUCAGCAGUUUGAGCAGUAUUUCCGAGAUGAGAGUGGCCUGAACCGAAAGAACAUCCAAGACAACAGGGUGCACUGCUGCCUGUACUUCAUCUCACCCUUCGGCCAUGGGCUCCGGCCAUUGGAUGUUGAAUUCAUGAAGGCCCUGCAUCAGCGGGUCAACAUCGUGCCUAUCCUGGCUAAGGCAGACACACUGACACCUCCUGAAGUGGACCGCAAGAAGCGCAAAAUCCGGGAGGAGAUUGAGCAUUUUGGAAUCAAGAUCUAUCAGUUCCCAGACUGUGACUCUGAUGAGGAUGAGGACUUCAAAUUGCAGGACCAAGCCCUAAAGGAAAGCAUCCCAUUUGCAGUAAUUGGCAGCAACACUGUAGUAGAGGCCAGAGGGCGGCGAGUUCGGGGUCGACUCUACCCCUGGGGCAUCGUGGAAGUGGAAAACCCAGGGCACUGCGACUUUGUGAAGCUGAGGACAAUGCUGGUACGUACCCACAUGCAGGACCUGAAGGAUGUGACGCGGGAGACACACUAUGAGAACUACCGGGCACAGUGCAUCCAGAGCAUGACCCGCCUGGUGGUGAAGGAACGGAAUCGCAAGUAUGACCAGAAGCCAGGACAAAGCUGGCAGGGGGAGAUCCCAAGCCUAGCCUUGGGUGAGACCAAGCCCUACUUUUGUUCUUCUAUAGGCCCUGGGCUCAAUCUAAGCGGGUGCUGGGGUCCUCCUCGCCUUAUCAACCCUUUUCUCCCUUUAGCAAACUGACUCGGGAAAGUGGUACCGACUUCCCCAUCCCUGCUGUCCCACCAGGGACAGAUCCAGAAACUGAGAAGCUUAUCCGAGAGAAAGAUGAGGAGCUGCGGCGGAUGCAGGAGAUGCUACACAAAAUACAAAAACAGAUGAAGGAGACCUAUUAA